This 25-nucleotide non-coding RNA is filed under the name Arabidopsis thaliana (thale cress). Lineage: Eukaryota; Viridiplantae; Streptophyta; Magnoliopsida; Brassicales; Brassicaceae. The record is from RNAcentral.
ACCCGAUUGCUACAUACGAUUGGCG